This 497-nucleotide ribosomal RNA is filed under the name uncultured bacterium. RNAcentral describes it as "partial 16S ribosomal RNA". It matches the Rfam family "Bacterial small subunit ribosomal RNA", at positions 28 to 507 of the family's 1533-position model. The record is from RNAcentral.
GAUGAACGCUGGCGGCGUGCCUAAUACAUGCAAGUCGAGCGAACAGACGAGGAGCUUGCUCCUCUGACGUUAGCGGCGGACGGGUGAGUAACACGUGGAUAACCUACCUAUAAGACUGGGAUAACUUCGGGAAACCGGAGCUAAUACCGGAUAAUAUAUUGAACCGCAUGGUUCAAUGGUGAAAGACGGUUUUGCUGUCACUUAUAGAUGGAUCCGCGCCGCAUUAGCUAGUUGGUAAGGUAACGGCUUACCAAGGGGACGAUGCGUAGCCGACCUGAGGGGGUGGUCGGCCACCUGGGAGCUGAGCCACCGUCCAGACUCCUACGGGAGGCAGCAGUAGGGAAUCUUCCGCAAUGGGCGAAAGCCUGACGGAGCAACGCCGCGUGAGUGAUGAAGGUCUUCGGAUCGUAAAACUCUGUUAUGAGGGAAGAACCAAUGUGUAAGUAACUAUGCACGUCUUGACGGUACCUAAUCAGAAAGCCACGGCUAACUACGUG